AAAUUGAAGAGUUUGAUCAUGGCUCAGAUUGAACGCUGGCGGCAGGCCUAACACAUGCAAGUCGAACGGUAACAGAAAGCAGCUUGCUGCUUUGCUGACGAGUGGCGGACGGGUGAGUAAUGUCUGGGAAACUGCCUGAUGGAGGGGGAUAACUACUGGAAACGGUAGCUAAUACCGCAUAAUGUCGCAAGACCAAAGAGGGGGACCUUCGGGCCUCUUGCCAUCGGAUGUGCCCAGAUGGGAUUAGCUUGUUGGUGGGGUA
Molecule: ribosomal RNA, 262 nt
Filed under: Escherichia coli
Lineage: Bacteria; Pseudomonadati; Pseudomonadota; Gammaproteobacteria; Enterobacterales; Enterobacteriaceae
Description: partial 16S ribosomal RNA
Rfam family: Bacterial small subunit ribosomal RNA
Source: RNAcentral